GCUCUGUGAGUUUGCAAACUCCAGGUAAAUAUUUUCUUCUGCUUUUUUCUUUCCCCUCUUUUAUUUAUGGAAUUCCUCUUUCUCCAGUCAUUUUACUCUCCUUUUUCAUUCCAACUCUGAAUCCUUUCCCUUCUAGUAACUAAAAUCUCGAAUUUCAUUUUAUAUGGGGCUAUAUGGUUCUUGCACUAUGGAUGGUAAAUCUCUCUCUCUCUCUCUCU
RNAcentral lists this unclassified non-coding RNA (218 nucleotides) under Hevea brasiliensis (rubber tree). The record is from RNAcentral. Lineage: Eukaryota; Viridiplantae; Streptophyta; Magnoliopsida; Malpighiales; Euphorbiaceae.